Molecule: ribosomal RNA, 468 nt
Filed under: uncultured bacterium
Lineage: Bacteria
Description: partial 16S ribosomal RNA
Rfam family: Bacterial small subunit ribosomal RNA
Source: RNAcentral
GACGAACGCUGGCGGCGUGCUUAACACAUGCAAGUCGAACGGAAAGGCCCUGCUUUUGUGGGGUGCUCGAGUGGCGAACGGGUGAGUAACACGUGAGUAACCUGCCCUUGACUUUGGGAUAACUUCAGGAAACUGGGGCUAAUACCGGAUAGGAGCUCCUGCUGCAUGGUGGGGGUUGGAAAGUUUCGGCGGUUGGGGAUGGACUCGCGGCUUAUCAGCUUGUUGGUUGGGUAGUGGCUUACCAAGGCUUUGACGGGUAGCCGGCCUGAGAGGGUGACCGGCCACAUUGGGACUGAGAUACGGCCCAGACUCCUACGGGACGCAGCAGUGGGGAAUAUUGCACAAUGGGAGGAAGCCUGAUGCAGCAACGCCGCGUGCGGGAUGACGGCCUUCGGGUUGUAUACCGAUUUCGCCUGUGACGAAGCGUGAGUGACGGUAAUGGGUAAAGAAGCACCGGCUAACUACGUG